Molecule: ribosomal RNA, 434 nt
Filed under: uncultured Bacillus sp.
Lineage: Bacteria; Bacillati; Bacillota; Bacilli; Caryophanales; Bacillaceae
Description: bacterial SSU rRNA
Rfam family: Bacterial small subunit ribosomal RNA
Source: RNAcentral
AACGCGAAGAACCUUACCAGGUCUUGACAUCUCCUGACCGCCCUGGAGACAGGGUCUUCCCUUCGGGGACAGGAUGACAGGUGGUGCAUGGUUGUCGUCAGCUCGUGUCGUGAGAUGUUGGGUUAAGUCCCGCAACGAGCGCAACCCUUGGUUCUAGUUGCCAGCAUUGAGUUGGGCACUCUAGAGCGACUGCCGGCGACAAGUCGGAGGAAGGUGGGGAUGACGUCAAAUCAUCAUGCCCCUUAUGACCUGGGCUACACACGUGCUACAAUGGAUGGUACAAAGGGCAGCAAAGCGGCGACGCAUGAGCGAAUCCCAGAAAACCAUUCUCAGUUCGGAUUGCAGGCUGCAACUCGCCUGCAUGAAGCCGGAAUCGCUAGUAAUCGCGGAUCAGCAUGCCGCGGUGAAUACGUUCCCGGGCCUUGUACACACCG